Molecule: ribosomal RNA, 425 nt
Filed under: uncultured bacterium
Lineage: Bacteria
Description: partial 16S ribosomal RNA
Rfam family: Bacterial small subunit ribosomal RNA
Source: RNAcentral
GUGGGGAAUAUUGGACAAUGGGCGCAAGCCUGAUCCAGCCAUGCCGCGUGAGUGAUGAAGGCCCUAGGGUUGUAAAGCUCUUUCACCGGUGAAGAUAAUGACGGUAACCGGAGAAGAAGCCCCGGCUAACUUCGUGCCAGCAGCCGCGGUAAUACGAAGGGGGCUAGCGUUGUUCGGAAUUACUGGGCGUAAAGCGCACGUAGGCGGACAUUUAAGUCAGGGGUGAAAUCCCGGGGCUCAACCCCGGAACUGCCUUUGAUACUGGGUGUCUGGAGUAUGGAAGAGGUAAGUGGAAUUCCGAGUGUAGAGGUGAAAUUCGUAGAUAUUCGGAGGAACACCAGUGGCGAAGGCGGCUUACUGGUCCAUUACUGACGCUGAGGUGCGAAAGCGUGGGGAGCAAACAGGAUUAGAUACCCCGGUAGUCC